AGAACGAACGCUGGCGGCAUGCCUAACACAUGCAAGUCGAACGAGACCUUCGGGUCUAGUGGCGCACGGGUGCGUAACGCGUGGGAAUCUACCCUUGGGUUCGGAAUAACAGUUGGAAACGACUGCUAAUACCGGAUGAUGACGUAAGUCCAAAGAUUUAUCGCCCAGGGAUGAGCCCGCGUAGGAUUAGCUAGUUGGUGAGGUAAAGGCUCACCAAGGCGACGAUCCUUAGCUGGUCUGAGAGGAUGAUCAGCCACACUGGGACUGAGACACGGCCCAGACUCCUACGGGAGGCAGCAGUGGGGAAUAUUGGACAAUGGGCGAAAGCCUGAUCCAGCAAUGCCGCGUGAGUGAUGAAGGCCUUAGGUUGUAAAGCUCUUUUACCCGGGAAGAUAAUGACUGUAACCGGAGAAUAAGCUCCGGCUAACUCCGUAACCAGCAGCCGC
Molecule: ribosomal RNA, 446 nt
Filed under: uncultured soil bacterium
Lineage: Bacteria
Description: bacterial SSU rRNA
Rfam family: Bacterial small subunit ribosomal RNA
Source: RNAcentral